GCCUGGGUGGCUCAGUCGGUUGAGCAACCAACUUCAGCUCAGGUCAUGGUCUCACGGUUUGUGGGUUCAAGCCCCACAUCAGGCA
Molecule: transfer RNA, 85 nt
Filed under: Felis catus (domestic cat)
Lineage: Eukaryota; Metazoa; Chordata; Mammalia; Carnivora; Felidae
Also listed under: 1 other name
Rfam family: tRNA
About the family: Transfer RNA (tRNA) molecules are approximately 80 nucleotides in length. Their secondary structure includes four short double-helical elements and three loops (D, anti-codon, and T loops).
Source: Rfam by way of RNAcentral